Molecule: ribosomal RNA, 800 nt
Filed under: uncultured Thelephoraceae
Lineage: Eukaryota; Fungi; Basidiomycota; Agaricomycetes; Thelephorales; Thelephoraceae
Description: eukaryotic LSU rRNA
Rfam family: 5.8S ribosomal RNA (bases 213-367)
Source: RNAcentral
AGGAUCAUUACCGAAUUGUUAACAAGAGUUGUUGCUGGUCCCCAUACGGGGGCACGUGCACACUCUGUUUACACAUCCACUCACACCUGUGCACCCUCUGUAGUUCUAUGGCCUGGGUGGGCUCUGUCCCUCCUGCUGUGGUUCUACGUCUUUACACACACACUACAACAAAGUCUCAUGGAAUGUAUGUCGCGUUUAAUGCAAUGAAAUACAACUUUCAGCAACGGAUCUCUUGGCUCUCGCAUCGAUGAAGAACGCAGCGAAAUGCGAUAAGUAAUGUGAAUUGCAGAAUUCAGUGAAUCAUCGAAUCUUUGAACGCACCUUGCGCCCUUUGGCUAUUCCGAAGGGCAUGCCUGUUUGAGUAUCAUGAACACCUCAACUCUCAUGGCUUGCCAUGAUGAGCUUGGACUUUGGGGGUCUUGUUGGUCUGUGAGCCAGCUCCUCUUAAAUGAAUUAGCUUGCCAGUGUUUGGUGGCGUCACAGGUGUGAUAACUAUCUACGCUUGUGUUUUCCCACCAGGUAACCUCCAGCAAUGGAGGUUCACUGGAGCUUAUAAACGUCUCUCCCAUGCGAAGACACAUUUUGACCAUUUGAUCUCAAAUCAGGUAGGACUACCCGCUGAACUUAAGCAUAUCAAUAAGCGGAGGAAAAGAAACUAACAAGGAUUCCCCUAGUAACUGCGAGUGAAGCGGGAAGAGCUCAAAUUUAAAAUCUGGCUGCCUCUGGCUGUCCGAGUUGUAGUCUGGAGAAGCGUUUUCCGUGUUGGACCGUGUAUAAGUCUCUUGGAACAGGGCGUCAUA